UACAGAGGUCUCAAGCGUUGUUCGGAUUCAUUGGGCGUAAAGGGUGCGUAGGUGGCGGGGUAAGUUGGAUGUGAAAUCCCGGGGCUCAACCCCGGAACUGCAUUCAAUACUGCCUUGCUGGAGUACUGGAGAGGAGAUUGGAAUUCAUGGUGUAGCAGUGAAAUGCGUAGAUAUCAUGAGGAAGACCAGUGGCGAAGGCGGAUCUCUGGACAGUUACUGACACUGAGGCACGAAGGCCAGGGGAGCAAACGGG
This 253-nucleotide ribosomal RNA is filed under the name uncultured bacterium. RNAcentral's name for it is "partial 16S ribosomal RNA". It matches the Rfam family "Bacterial small subunit ribosomal RNA", at positions 524 to 776 of the family's 1533-position model. The record is from RNAcentral.